Molecule: ribosomal RNA, 499 nt
Filed under: uncultured bacterium
Lineage: Bacteria
Description: partial 16S ribosomal RNA
Rfam family: Bacterial small subunit ribosomal RNA
Source: RNAcentral
AUUGAACGCUGGCGGCAUGCUUUACACAUGCAAGUCGAACGGCAGCGCGGGGCAACCUGGCGGCGAGUGGCGAACGGGUGAGUAAUAUAUCGGAACGUACCCAAGAGUGGGGGAUAACGUAGCGAAAGUUACGCUAAUACCGCAUACGCUCGGGAGAGGAAAGUGGGGGAUCGCAAGACCUCACGUUAUAGGAGCGGCCGAUGUCUGAUUAGCUAGUUGGUGAGGUAAAGGCUCACCAAGGCGACGAUCAGUAGCUGGUCUUAGAGGAUGAUCAGCCACACUGGGACUGAGACACGGCCCAGACUCCCACGGGAGGCAGCAGUGGGGAAUUUUGGACAAUGGGGGCAACCCUGAUCCAGCCAUGCCGCGUGCGGGAAGAAGGCCUUCGGGUUGUAAACCGCUUUAGUCUAGGAAAAAGGAAUGCAGGAUUAAUACCCUUGUGUUUUGAUGGUACUGGAAGAAUAAGCACCGGCUAACUACGUGCCAGCCGCCGCCGUAA